RNAcentral lists this ribosomal RNA (440 nucleotides) under uncultured archaeon. RNAcentral's name for it is "partial 16S ribosomal RNA". It matches the Rfam family "Archaeal small subunit ribosomal RNA", at positions 474 to 903 of the family's 1478-position model. The record is from RNAcentral.
CACCAGCCCCUCGAGUGGUGGGGAUGAUUAUUUGGCCUAAAGCGUCCGUAGCCGGCCGGGUAAGUUUCCCGUUAAAUCCAGCGUCUCAAGCGUUGGACUGCGGGAAAUACUGCCUGGCUAGAGAGUGGGAGAGGUCAGCGGUAUUCGUGGGGGUAGGGGCGAAAUCCUUUGAUCCCCGGAGGACCACCAGUGGCGAAGGCUGCUGACUAGGGGGGGGGGAACACGUCUGACGGUCAGGGACGAAAGCUGGGGUAGCGAACCGGAUUAGAUACCCGGGUAGUCCCAGCCGUAAACGAUGCAUGCUAGGUGUUGGGUUGGCCACGAGCCACCCCAGUGCCGCAGGGAAGCCGUUAAGCAUGCCGCCUGGGAAGUACGAUCGCAAGAUUGAAACUUAAAGGAAAUUGGCGGGGGGGCACCACCAGGCGUGAAGCCUGCGGUUU